CCUACCAUUCAAGGAGAUAACUUGGCAUGCAAGUCACAAAGAAUCUAGAAAUCCUCACCCAUGUGGAAAGAUAUUUGUAAACACCUCAGGACUUUAAGGAACUGCUUUACUUUCCAGCACGGUGAUGGCCUAAACAAUCACAUUUCAGAAGAUGCUGUUGAGUAUUUUCAAAAUGGACAUAUAUUUAUUUAAGGUCACCU
This 200-nucleotide long non-coding RNA is filed under the name Elaeis guineensis (African oil palm). RNAcentral describes it as "long non-coding RNA (EGUI_LNC004300)". Lineage: Eukaryota; Viridiplantae; Streptophyta; Magnoliopsida; Arecales; Arecaceae. The record is from RNAcentral.